AAAGAAUCUGGAGACAGGUGCUGCAUGGCUGUCGUCAGCUCGUGUCGUGAGAUGGUUGGGUUAAGUCCCGCAACGAGCGCAACCCUUGCCUUUAGUUGCCAGCAGUUCGGCUGGGCACUCUAAAGGGACUGCCGGUGUUAAACCGGAGGAAGGUGGGGAUGACGUCAAGUCCUCAUGGCCUUUAUGACCAGGGCUACACACGUACUACAAUGGCCGAUACAAAGGGCAGCGACACUGCGAGGUGAAGCCAAUCCCGUAAAAUCGGUCUCAGUCCGGAUUGGAGUCUGCAACUCGACUCCAUGAAGUUGGAAUCGCUAGUAAUCGUGGAUCAGCAUGCCACGGUGAAUACGUUCCCGGGCCUU
Molecule: ribosomal RNA, 362 nt
Filed under: uncultured Desulfobulbus sp.
Lineage: Bacteria; Pseudomonadati; Thermodesulfobacteriota; Desulfobulbia; Desulfobulbales; Desulfobulbaceae
Description: bacterial SSU rRNA
Rfam family: Bacterial small subunit ribosomal RNA
Source: RNAcentral